This is a long non-coding RNA of Vulpes vulpes (red fox), 2142 nucleotides long. Lineage: Eukaryota; Metazoa; Chordata; Mammalia; Carnivora; Canidae. The record is from Ensembl.
GGGGUCCCUCCUCUAGGUUGAGACAGCACCAAGCUGCCCCCUACAGGUGGGAGGGAAAGGCAGGCAUCCUGAAGACUGCAAACCCCCACCUCCCCCACCCCAGGAGGGAGGGGACAGGAGCAGAGGGGGGGUGCUGUGCUUACCCCAGGUCAUCUUCAUCUCUGGGAGUCCCCCACCCCCGCCGGAGGACUAGAGCAGCAGUUCUCAACCCCUGAUUCCCAGGCCAGUCACAGCAGCAGCAGCUGGGGACUUGUUAGAAAUGUAAAUUCUCAGGCCCCAGCCAGGUCCCACUGAAAGGCAGCUCUGGAGAAUGGGCCCAGCAGUCUCAUCCAGGGGAUUCUGAUGAACCCUCAAGUUUGGGAACCCUGGUAUGGCCACCUGCAGCAGCCCUUGCUUGAUAGCUUGGCCUGCUGAGAUGGGGCCCGUCCCGCCUAUUUGGAGGCACCUCCUGCAAACUCUUCCCUUAACAAAUGAGGACACUGAGGUGCAAGGAUGUGUGGCCUGCCUGAGACCACCCUCUCAAGGAAUCUUCCCCCAAGCCUCUCAGAUCAUAGGAGAGGGAAAAGGAAGCCAAUAAGCAACUAUCUGGGGUUCCUCAGUCCUAACCGCUCCUGGAGGUCUGCCUUGCCCAGGCCUUGCUGGAUACGUCAAGCCCUGGGCCCAGGCACAGGCCAUGUGGCACCCUGCCUUGUCCUCCUCUCCUCUGAGGUGAUGUCGCGCCAGCUUUCUCCUCUCAGAUCCCACUGUCCUGCCUGCCACUCACGCGGAGAUGAACACAAAGGGCCCAGCUGUGAAGAAGAUCACAACAGGAUUUGGUUUUGUUUUUAUCCAUCUCCAGCAGCUAAAACUACUUGUCAAUCAGAGAGAGAUGGGAAGUCACUAGAAAGACAGGAAACGUUUGAGGAUGGAAACGCAUCCCCCUUGGCCCGGUCAUAUGGCACGGAUGUCUUUCCAGAGAAGUGCCAGGCUCUGUUUGGCAGGCGGGCAUUAGGAGGGUGCUCCGCCCUCCUCACCCCACAAUAUUCACAGGUGUGGCCCAGCGGCCAGCAGCCAGCAGCCAGCAGGGUACACUGCGGGCAUGGGCCAUGGGCCCCAGCGCGGUUAGCAGCACACCCCGAACCAGGCAAGCAGGAGCAGGGGUACAGAACGUGCCGGCAAGGACCCCCGGGGAAGGACCCAUGGGUGGAGAUGCUGGAGGCGGCGCCCAAGGGCUCUGCGGCGGGGACAGGUAGACAGGCCUGGUCGGAGGGGCUGGUGGCCCAGGUGGGGGCAAAGCCAACGGACAUGUGAGUAAAGUUACAUUUCCUUCUGACCUGCAGCCCAUCAGCAACUACUGGAGGCUACAGGGGACAGUCUUCCGGGACACCCCAACUAUCUUAAGGUUAAUGCUUUGCUAGAGGGAGAAACGACCUUACUUGACAACAGCUGGGCCUCCAGGGUCCUGUGAGGCUUUACCAUCCGAAAGUCCUUUUGGAAACUUCCCUUGCCUUUACCUCCCCCAACUCCAGAGCAGACAGACGGUUGCUCCUCACUGUCAGGGGGCAGCCCUUUCUGCCCACAGGGCCUGUCCCCUGCUUUAAUACAGCCACUUUUUUUGCACCAAAGAAGUCUCAAGAAUUCUUUCCUGGGCUCCGAACCCCAACAUUUCCGACAUCAGUGAUGGGACAGGGUGGCACGUGGCUCUGGAGAAGCAAGUUCACCCACAGCCCAAAAUGUUGGGGCUCCAUAGAUCUGAGGGCCUUAAUUGUGUUCGAAUUCUAAAGUGUUGAAAUCCUGGAAAAGGCUUUAAUGCUUUUCUAAUGUGACCUGUUCCUUUUUAUUAUUAUUUUAAGAUUUUAUUUAUUUAUUUGACAGAGAGAGAGAGAGAGAGAGAGAGAGAGUAGAAGCAGGGGGAGCAGCAGGCAGAGGGAGAGAGACUGACGUGGGGCUCGAUCCCAGGACCCCAGGCUCAAGACUUGAGCCCAAGGCAGACGCUGCACACUGAGCCACCCCUGACCCAUUCCUUUUUAUAAGCAAAGGAACUGAAACUCAGAAACAUGAAACAAUUUGCACAACUUGUCAGGGCUCUUUCAUUCACGGGGACAGAGACCCAACUCAAACCAAAUGAAUAAACGAAGGGAAUGUACUGGCUGCUCUAACUGU